UCUCAUGCCGCGAGAGCCUAGAUGCCGAUGCAGCAUGUCAGGCGUAUCGAGUCAUCACUAGUAUGCAUCCUGCUCUAUGAUGCAGACAGAGUCGUGUGAAGUUUGUGUUUCGUAGAUUCUCUGUCGACUAUUGCUAUAUCACAUUAGUGUGUGUUCGUCGCUCACGCAGGUAGUACUAAUCACAGUAAUGAUCCUCGUAGGGUGAUCUGCGGAAGGAUCAUUA
RNAcentral lists this ribosomal RNA (223 nucleotides) under Pichia sp. YS5. RNAcentral describes it as "Issatchenkia sp. YS5 partial 18S ribosomal RNA". Lineage: Eukaryota; Fungi; Ascomycota; Pichiomycetes; Pichiales; Pichiaceae. The record is from RNAcentral.